Long non-coding RNA from Scophthalmus maximus (turbot), 485 nucleotides. RefSeq lists it as uncharacterized. The record is from RefSeq and is a predicted model, not a curated record. The transcript is spliced from 3 exons. Lineage: Eukaryota; Metazoa; Chordata; Actinopteri; Pleuronectiformes; Scophthalmidae.
CCAAACAACAUUAUCUACAGAGAGCUGAAUACCACUUAAAACCUUUCCUGCAACCGCUCCAUCUGUUGUCUUGGAUUAGCUCCAUGUUUAUUGCCUUUUUUUUUUCCUCACAUGCUCAAAGGCAGACAGGGCAGGGAGGGCGAAAGAAAGGGAGGCGAAUAAAGAGCCGAACACACAUCUUGUUAAAAGUACUUGAACGCGUCAUGUGGCGCCGUGUGACCUGUUCGGUCAACGGUUGGCUCGCAGUCCAUCAUUGUAACCAUCAUCACCUUCAUCAUUGUUAUCAGCUACAAUGCCCACAGUCGGUUGAGAAGAGGACGUAUUGCUGAGAGUAUCCAUGGCUGCUCUGUAGCCAUCGUGUGCUUUAGUUAACUUCGGAGAUGACGGAGGACAAACAAGUACUUCAAAGACAGUAAAGUAACACAGCAACUUAUAACAUCAAUACAUCCUUGCCGUUUCUGUGUCAAUGGCACAUCUAAGUUCAC